Molecule: ribosomal RNA, 354 nt
Filed under: uncultured bacterium
Lineage: Bacteria
Description: bacterial SSU rRNA
Rfam family: Bacterial small subunit ribosomal RNA
Source: RNAcentral
CGAAAGGAACGCUAAUACCGCAUACGUCCUACGGGAGAAAGCAGGGGACCUUCGGGCCUUGCGCUAUCAGAUGAGCCUAGGUCGGAUUAGCUAGUAGGUGAGGUAAUGGCUCACCUAGGCGACGAUCCGUAACUGGUCUGAGAGGAUGAUCAGCCACACUGGUACUGAGACACGGACCAGACUCCUACGGGAGGCAGCAGUGAGGAAUAUUGGACAAUGGGCGCAAGCCUGAUCCAGCCAUGCCGCGUGCAGGAUGACGGUCCUAUGGAUUGUAAACUGCUUUGUACAGGAAGAAACACUACUUCGUGAAGUAGCUAGACGGUACUGUAAGAAUAAGGAUCGGCUAACUCCGUG